Molecule: non-coding RNA, 94 nt
Filed under: human gut metagenome
Description: NiCo riboswitch
Rfam family: NiCo (Nickel/Cobalt) riboswitch aptamer
Source: RNAcentral
ACAGUACAAACUGAGCAGGCGAUGGUCUUUCGACCGUGGGGCUGGGUUACCGAAGUGUAGCAGCAGAGUGGGUUUGCACCCUCUGUGGGACAGU